AUUCUGCACUUAAUGAUAUUUUUUAUUCUACUUUAUACAGGUCAAUCAUAAUUUCAGAGAGUAUCAAGGAGAAGAGAGUGAUUGAAUGUUAAAGGCUGCACAGAGGACAAGAAGAAUGAGGAUCAAGAAAAGAGGAAUGGUUAGAACCUCAAAUCCAAGAGAUGUGAUUAUGAGCAAAGAUCAGAAACUAAGCAUAAGAGUGGUCUUGAGUCCCUAGGUAAGGAGCUGACUGCUCAUCUAAAGAGCCUUCUGUGCCAAACAUUAUACUAAGUGCCUUAUUGAUAUUUUCUCAUUUUAUACUUACAACAACUGUGAGGUAGAUACUAUUAUCUCCCUUAAAAGUUGAAACCAUGAGACAGAUGCUAAGUGAUUUGCCCAGCAUCACACAGUUGGUAUCUGAGGCCAGAUUUGAACUGAAGUCUUUCUGACUCCAGGUACUAUACACCUAGAUUCCGUAAAUUCAACAAUUUACUUCAGGAAAUCUGUUUCAGAAAAAUUGAAGUGAUUAUCCUGUUGUCAGAUGUUGCCGAAGUCUCUGUACAGCUUUUGGCUUCAGGAAAUGUCCAAAUUGAAAUGCAAAGAGCUGUGUGAGCAAAGAGUAUGGAGUUAUUGAUGAUCCUCCAGGCUAUUUAGGUAGUACUGAAAAUAAUAUGGUAGAAGAUUUGACCCCUCGGCAUUUCUGGCUGAGUGGCAAGCAAAAUGUGUAAGAUAGAUAAUAAUAGCAAGUGAGCAAUGUAGAUUGGGUGAGUGAGGAAGUUGGCUCUGUGAAUAAGGAAGUGAAUGUGGGUGAAUAAGGAAGUGAAUGUGGGUGAGUGAGGGUACGUUCAGGUGGAAAGGAUCUGAUCUGAUUCUGGCAACUGUGUGAAGAGCCCAAUGGCUUUUGAAAGAUUCUUGAUUUGUAUAACUUAUUGGGAUUAUAUUGAUUUGAUGGGAAGAAGGCUGACUAUUUAGUAAAUCCAAGGUUAUUCCAUUUCUGAGGAAAAUCCAAACUGCAGAAUAGUGAUGAGUUUUGAGAACUAUAGGUCCUUGCAAGGAAAGUUGGAUUUACUGGAGAAGGAAGUCAAUAUUUAAGAGCGUAUUGACUAUUUUAGGGUACAAAUGGGAGUCAUUUAUGUUUUGUAAAUGGUGAGGCAAAGGAUGUCCUUUAGCUGAUGUGCACUAUUACCUUUCUGGUCUACAGCAGAACUGUAGAAACUGGGACAAGAGCCGUAUUAUGAUGUUUCCUAGAGGAAUCCUUGGAUGGGAGCAAAACAAGACAGAUGCAUGAAUAUGUGAAGGUAGCUUUGUAAGACCUUGGUCCAUGAAAACCUGGAGCCUGUGGUGGAAUGGAGGAAUAAAUGCCCAUAUUGGACUCUGAGUUAUAGUGCA
This 1368-nucleotide long non-coding RNA is filed under the name Monodelphis domestica (gray short-tailed opossum). RNAcentral describes it as "lncRNA (ENSMODG00000050656.1)". The record is from RNAcentral. Lineage: Eukaryota; Metazoa; Chordata; Mammalia; Didelphimorphia; Didelphidae.